Molecule: long non-coding RNA, 254 nt
Filed under: Gossypium barbadense (sea-island cotton)
Lineage: Eukaryota; Viridiplantae; Streptophyta; Magnoliopsida; Malvales; Malvaceae
Description: long non-coding RNA (GBAR_LNC005793)
Source: RNAcentral
GCGAUCCUUCUUUCCUGAUUUUUGUUCCACUGUCUUCUUCUUUGACGCAUGUCUUGCUGGAACCCCAAACCGUAUCGGGCUUUGUGGUGCACUGGCUUUAAAGCCCUGACUAUUCCUUGCAGAUAUCUCCCUAAACCUCUUCUCGCGCGAGCUCCCUUUCCUGCGGUCAAUUUGACACCCAUUCUAGUAUUUCUCGACAGUUUUGGCACUGGAAUUCUGUUUCCCUCAACAACAAAAGUGGCAUUGACGAAUUC